GCUCUUCAGAGAACCAGAGCCAUGCACAGUGGUAGCUCAUGAGCCAUAUCCAACAUAUUUUGUUUGGUUCACACAGUGUUAAUUUUUUUUUUAAUUGGCUGCCAACAUUUUUAAAAAUCAAGAGAUAUCUCUUAAAUUUUGUAAUUUCUGGCUUCCCUUGAAAAAUCAGAAAAUUUGGCAGUACUCAGCCUGUGCGCUCACAUGGUUCCCAGCUGACUUCAUCUGAAUGGCAGUGACUUCAUUGGCUCAGGCUGGUGGUCAGAAUAAGGAGAAGAAGGAGAAGAAAAGGAAGAGGAGGAGGAGGAGAAAUGCCAAUACCAGGGCUUUGAUGGGAAAUCCAGAAGAAAGAAUGUGUGAGGGAAGAAGAUGACAUCUGUGCCUGGCCAACAAAAUCCAAAGAUUAUUCCAGUGAAAACAAAAGGAAGGCGAGACUGAACUUUCUAGUUCAAGUGAAAUUAACGAGAGGAUUGUAAUUUCUGCGUGCUGGCCCCUGGCAGCAAGGACUACCCUGCAGCCAUCCAGGACACGGACUCUGCCUCUCACCACCUGUGUGACUGCGGUGAAAAUGAUGUGUCUUCCUUUGCCUUGGUUUCCACAACUAGAAGAGGAUGGGUAGAUGAAAUGAGCUAAAAGAAACGAGGCACUUGGACAAAGGCCAAGCGUAUAAAGAGUGCUCAGUAGUUAUUGGCUGAUUUACUUUCAUCGAAUGAAGUAUACUUCGAAAAUAGACAUUUUCAGUUGUUUGUUUUUUGGGAAGUAGAGAUGUGGGAAAGCCCAAAAGACAUCAGGGAAGCGGAGGGUGAUAUGUCUAACCCUGGGCUUAUCUGUAGUGUCCGAGAGGCUGUCACAGGGACUGCCGGGCACCAGGCUGAGAUGCAGGACAGUUACAGGGGUGCUCGAUGCAUUUCUCAGAUUCUUACUGAUUUCAGUACCUUGAGAAGUGUUGGAGAAUAUAGACUUAAAUGAUGUCGGAGCUUCUGAAAUCACAAAUGGGAUCAGCUCCACCCUUGGCUGUAAUCUGUAAAACUUGGUGUGACUUGACCCGCCCUGACUGUCCUCCCAGCCCGACCCCGGUAGUGCCUUGUGCUCACUCUUACCU
Long non-coding RNA from Bos taurus (domestic cattle), 1099 nucleotides. The record is from Ensembl. Lineage: Eukaryota; Metazoa; Chordata; Mammalia; Artiodactyla; Bovidae.